Molecule: long non-coding RNA, 336 nt
Filed under: Vulpes vulpes (red fox)
Lineage: Eukaryota; Metazoa; Chordata; Mammalia; Carnivora; Canidae
Description: lncRNA (ENSVVUG00000017547.1)
Source: RNAcentral
GAUGAAUAUUGAUUCCUUUCCAAAAGCAGAGCUGGUACUUUGGGAAGACAGAAGUUCAUUAUACUAAUUAGAGGCCCUUGCCCUACCUCUUCAGAGGAUGUUCUCUUGGCCUGAGGUCAACCUGGAAACAUGGAAAAAAUAUGAUUUUGAAACUGUUCAAGACAACCAGGCAGCCUUCCUGGCGUUGUGCACGAACCUGCGACCCAGCUUCUUGGCAUACCAGAUAGAGGCAAACAUAGCGAUGCCAGUGGAAGGGAUGCACAAUGAAGCUGCUGCACAAUCAACUUCCCACCUCGGCUCAGAGACGAAUGGAUCCGGCUGGAGCUGUCACUUGCA